UACGAAGGGUGCAAACGUUGCUCGGAAUUAUUGGGCGUAAAGCGCGCGUAGGCGGCUUGGCAAGUCGGAUGUGAAAUCCCUCGGCUCAACCAAGGAAGUGCAUCCGAAACUGCUGAGCUUGAGUACUUAAGAGGAUCGCGGAAUUCCCGGUGUAGAGGUGAAAUUCGUAGAUAUCCGGAGGAACACCAGCGGCGAAGGCGGCUUUCUGGUCCGAUACUGACGCUGAGGUGCGAAAGCGUGGGGAGCGAUCCGG
RNAcentral lists this ribosomal RNA (253 nucleotides) under uncultured bacterium. Its description in RNAcentral is "partial 16S ribosomal RNA". It matches the Rfam family "Bacterial small subunit ribosomal RNA", at positions 524 to 776 of the family's 1533-position model. The record is from RNAcentral.